AAGAGGGUUUCCUGGCUUUUCAGUUCAAACGAAAAGGGGGGUUUUUCAGAAAACCCAAACCCUAACACAACCCCUAUCCUCUCUUCCAAGACCAGCUACCGCCGGAAUUUCUGGCCAGUGACUGCCGUUAAAGCCCCACUUGCCGGAAAUAAUGGUAGCUAUCGCUGUCCGUGAGAGAAAGAGGUUCAACGUGAUAUAUAGCUGCUGCUACGAUGGAAGGCGUAGGCCAUCGAGUCCAGAGGUCAUCCCUGCCAAUGCAGGGGUUGUCAGAUCUCUACCCCAAAAUAGAGAUGAGAGAGAUGAGAUGUAUGAUUCGGCAACAAUGGCAGUCUAUGCAUCUGUUCUCACUAGAUGCCAGAGACAGAUGCAAAAGAAGAAGAGACGAAGGUUUUUUUUUUUUUUAGAACAUUAAUGGCGGGUAGAUGCUGUUGUACUGCAACCAAAAUUGAUGGGAUUUUAAU
Magnolia sinica is the source of this 461-nucleotide long non-coding RNA. RefSeq lists it as uncharacterized. The transcript is spliced from 2 exons. NCBI's taxonomy places the organism in Eukaryota, Viridiplantae, Streptophyta, Magnoliopsida, Magnoliales, Magnoliaceae. The record is from RefSeq and is a predicted model, not a curated record.